Molecule: ribosomal RNA, 393 nt
Filed under: uncultured bacterium
Lineage: Bacteria
Description: bacterial SSU rRNA
Rfam family: Bacterial small subunit ribosomal RNA
Source: RNAcentral
AUUGAACGCUGGCGGCAUGCCUUACACAUGCAAGUCGAACGGCAGCACGGGAGCAAUCCUGGUGGCGAGUGGCGAACGGGUGAGUAAUAUAUCGGAACGUGCCCAGUCGUGGGGAUAACGUAGCGAAAGCUACGCUAAUACCGCAUACUAUCUAUGGAUGAAAGCGGGGGAUCGCAAGACCUCGCGCGAUUGGAGCGGCCGAUAUCAGAUUAGGUAGUUGGUGAGGUAAAGGCUCACCAAGCCGACGAUCUGUAGCUGGUCUGAGAGGACGACUAGCCACACUGGGACUGAGACACGGCCCAGACUCCUACGGGAGGCAGCAGUGGGGGAAUUUUUGGGACAAUGGGCGCAAGCCUGAUCCAGCAAUGCCGCGUGCAGGAUGAAGGCCUUCGG